GACGAACGCUGGCGGCGUGCUUAACACAUGCAAGUCGAACGGAAAGGCCCUGCUUUUGUGGGGUGCUCGAGUGGCGAACGGGUGAGUAACACGUGAGUAACCUGCCCUUGACUUUGGGAUAACUUCAGGAAACUGGGGCUAAUACCGGAUAGGAGCUCCUGCUGCAUGGUGGGGGUUGGAAAGUUUCGGCGGUUGGGGAUGGACUCGCGGCUUAUCAGCUUGUUGGUGGGGUAGUGGCUUACCAAGGCUUUGACGGGUAGCCGGCCUGAGAGGGUGACCGGGCGAGUGGGGAAGGGAAAGGGACCCGUGAACCUGGGGGGGGGAGGGGGGGAGAUAAGUGCGCAAAGGGCGAUAGCCCGGAGCAGAAGCGCCGGGUGGGGGAUUAGAGGCUUCGGGUUGAAAGCAACUUUCCCCUAUAGCGAGGCGGGGGGGGGGGAAGUGGGAAAAGAAACCCGGGUUACCAGCGG
This 467-nucleotide ribosomal RNA is filed under the name uncultured bacterium. Its description in RNAcentral is "partial 16S ribosomal RNA". It matches the Rfam family "Bacterial small subunit ribosomal RNA", at positions 28 to 506 of the family's 1533-position model. The record is from RNAcentral.